RNAcentral lists this non-coding RNA (148 nucleotides) under Pan troglodytes (chimpanzee). Lineage: Eukaryota; Metazoa; Chordata; Mammalia; Primates; Hominidae. The record is from Rfam by way of RNAcentral.
GCCAGGCAUGAUGGUCCAUGCCUGUAGUCCCAGCUACUUGGGAGGCUGAGGCAAGAGGAUCACUUGAGCCCAGGAGGUCGAGGCUGCAGUGAGCUGUGAUCACACCACUGCACUCCAGCCUGGGUGACAGAGUGAGACUUCGUCUCAA